Molecule: ribosomal RNA, 430 nt
Filed under: Amanita manicata
Lineage: Eukaryota; Fungi; Basidiomycota; Agaricomycetes; Agaricales; Amanitaceae
Description: eukaryotic LSU rRNA
Rfam family: Eukaryotic large subunit ribosomal RNA
Source: RNAcentral
UGAAGCGGGAAAAGCUCAAAUUUAAAAUCUGGCAGUCUUUAAUGGGUCAGCAUCAAUUUUGAUCACUGGAAAAAGGUAGAGGGAAUGUGGCAUCUUAGGAUGUGUUAUAGCCCUCUAUUGUAUACAGUGGUUGGGAUUGAGGAUAUCAGCACGCCGUAAGGCUGGGUCAUUGACCACACUCGUGCUUAGGAUGCUGGCAUAAUGGCUUUAAUCGACCCGUCUUGAAACACGGACCAAGGAGUCUAACAUGCCUGCGAGUGUUUGGGUGGAAAACCCAAGCGCGUAAUGAAAGUGAAAGUUGAGAUCCCUGUCAUGGGGAGCAUCGACGCCCGGACCAGAACUUUUGGGACGGAUCUGCGGUAGAGCAUGUAUGUUGGGACCCGAAAGAUGGUGAACUAUGCCUGAAUAGGGCGAAGCCAGAGGAAACUCU